GACAGGGGGUGCAAACGUUGUUCGGAAUUACUGGGCGUAAAGCGCGUGUAGGCGGCAGGGCAUGUCGGAUGUGAAAUCCCGUGGCUCAACCACGGAAGUGCACCCGAAACUGCCCAGCUUGAGUCUCGGAGAGGAAGGCGGAAUGCUUGGUGUAGAGGUGAAAUUCGUAGAUAUCAAGCGGAACACCGGUGGCGAAGGCGGCCUUCUGGACGAUGACUGACGCUGAGACGCGAAAGCGUGGGGAGCAAACAGG
RNAcentral lists this ribosomal RNA (253 nucleotides) under uncultured bacterium. RNAcentral's name for it is "partial 16S ribosomal RNA". It matches the Rfam family "Bacterial small subunit ribosomal RNA", at positions 524 to 776 of the family's 1533-position model. The record is from RNAcentral.